Long non-coding RNA from Chiroxiphia lanceolata (lance-tailed manakin), 1609 nucleotides. RefSeq lists it as uncharacterized. The record is from RefSeq and is a predicted model, not a curated record. Lineage: Eukaryota; Metazoa; Chordata; Aves; Passeriformes; Pipridae. The transcript is spliced from 2 exons.
AAAGAACCUCUACCACACCAAACCGUGAUGAAGAUAUUUAGCAUCAGCAUCAUUGCACAGGGUUUGCCCUUCUGCCGUAGGCGGUUUUCCAGGGUUUUUUUCCUGAAAAUUCCACUGCUUGUUGCUCUCGAAGACUGCUGGAUAAAAAUUUCAUCACAUUAAAUACAUGUUUCUAAGAAGUGCUAAUAAGCUGGAGAAUUUGUGAGAGUGACUUGUUCACUUGCAGCAUUCCUUCAUUUCAAGUGGUUUAAAGUAGCACUGAACUGUUAUAAAGCAGGGGUUUCAGUGUGCACCCUGUGGUGUUCCAAGCUAGAAAAGUCAAGGUAAUAAAUGUAUCCAUUUUCAGUGCCUGUAAUCUCAGAUACACCAAAGAGUCUGUUAUACUGUUCCAGUUUGUGACAAUAGUUUUGCUGUAUGUGUGUAUGUUUCACCCUUAAAAUGGAUCCAACCGAAUUUUGGCAAUUCAUCAGCUUUGGUAGUUCAGUACUGAAAUAUUUCCAUUGUAGGGUGUAUUUUUGUGUUAAGUGAACAUAGGAUAAAGCAUUUUAAGCAUUAAUUUACAUACCACCCUGUAUUUUUCAAAUAAGAGCAUCCACUGCUCUUAUACAUUACAUAUGGAAUUAGUUGGUUUGUUACUACAACGAAGCACUUGGAAUGAGACUUUCAGUCAACCUUUUCCUGGUUGACUGGUAUGCUAGUAGUUUAUUUAAAAUACUUAUAUGACCUAUGCAUGAACAACUUCACUUAUUUGGACUUGUUUCUUUAUCCCUUAAUUUCUGUGUUAAAACAACCAAAACACUCUUUUCAUUAUCAGUCAAAUCUAUGUAAAUACUUGCACCAGCAGUUCAGCCAAAUCUGUCCAUUCAGUUUUUCAGGGAAAUGUAGUCCUGAAUUUUUCUGAAACAAAUCAUAUUUCUUGCUUGAGUAUAGCCCUUUAUUUCAUGGAUGACAGUAAGAUGUUACUUAAUGGACAAAAAACUACUUAGCUUUCUCUGAAAUGAUAUAUCCUCUCAUUUUACACUUCCCUAUAUUGCACCUGACUUUGCAUCAGUUCUGAGUAAUAUAGAAAAGCAUUAAACUAUUUUCCCCUUAAACAAAAAAUAAAGGAUUCUUUUCUCUUGCAAUUUCUCAUAAUUUGAUAAGAAGAGACUGUCAAAAGAACAUAAAGGAAAAAAAUGUGUGAAAAUGUGCAUGUGUGCACAUAUAUAUAUGUAUAUGUGUUUAAUUUUCUAAUUUAAAAUUUAAGGUAAUCUUCAGAGUCUGUCACUGAACAAAUUAGAGCACUCCCACAUGCUUGUGUCUUCUACAAGAGAAUUUUUUGGUUCUGGGCUUUGUGGCAGGGAACUUGAUAAUGGCCACUGGUGGUAAGAUGCCUCUUUGAGUGACUGUCAGAAAUAAUUUUAUUUCAAAGCUGCUUUAGUCUUUACUUAAAAUUCCGUUUUUUGUGUUAGAAAAAUUGUCAGAGAAGUACAGAUCAUGGACUGAUCAGUGGAUGUUUAAUACGAAAGGAAGUUUGUUCUUGUCCCUAUGCUUAUUUCUCAUAAAGGAGUGUGUCCAUUGCUCUGGAUUUGAAAAUAGUCACAAUAAAGCUGGCCUUAUAGAUGUUUUA